Haplochromis burtoni (Burton's mouthbrooder) is the source of this 3256-nucleotide long non-coding RNA. RefSeq annotates it as zinc finger protein 595. The transcript has 3 exons. NCBI's taxonomy places the organism in Eukaryota, Metazoa, Chordata, Actinopteri, Cichliformes, Cichlidae. The record is from RefSeq and is a predicted model, not a curated record.
GUUGAAAGUGUGGGGUGGGGGAGUAACAGGUCUGUCCCUGUUUGUGGAAACCACAGGAGGAGCUGUUCAGGCUGUUGCUGGGUGUGAAUUGUUGAUGGAGUCUUUAAACUUGUAGUUGCUGUUUUCCAGACUGAAGCAGAGUCGUUAGCUGAAAACUGGUUUUAGAGGUUCAUUCAGGACACCUUCUCAGGCUCUUACAGCCUUACCUGUAUCAUAACAAAGUGUAUAAACCCCAAUCCACCUUUAACAUGGUCCUUCUCCCAAACCUUCAAAUAGGACUUUCUGGCCCUGUCAUAGUAAAGGGCUGCUUAGAAUAUUAGAGCCAAUGUCACAAAGUUCCUCCUGAAGUAUAAGUGAGUGAGAGAGUUUCCUCACUUUGCAGCACAACACGUCUCACAAGAUUUCUACAAGCAAUCAGAGUGAAAUUUGUACUUUGUGUUGUCAGAUGAACAUAUGAGACACUUUGACUCUUCAGUGCAGUGUGGAGCCUAACAAAGAUCUGUUUUGUGUCCCAGCUGAUCAGCAGGAGGAGAAGAGUCUGACGGAGCAGCAGAGGAACAUUUUCAGCCAUCUGGACUCAGCUGAGUCACUACAGAGGAAACAAUGAGCUCAACACAGGAGGACCAACAUGGAGCGAGAAGUCAGCGCUCUCAGGAGGCCGACAAACCUCACAGAAGAAAGGAGAGAAAAAACACACCUGUGACGAGUGUGGGAUGGGUUUUACUUUUAAGGCUUCACUAAAACAGCAUCAGGUCAUCCACACUGGAGAGAGACCGUUCAGCUGUGACUUGUGUGGAAAGUCUUUUUCCUUGGGUUCCCUAAAAACACACCAACUCAUCCACAGUGGAGUUAAAGCGUACAGCUGUGAUCAGUGUGGCAGAGCUUUUAAUCGCAGUAACGGCUUACAGAGGCAUCUAGUUACCCACUCUGGAAUUAAGGCAUACAGCUGUGACAUCUGUGGAAAAACUUUCAGCCAGAGUGGAAGCCGAAAUGAACAUCUACGCAUUCACACCAGAGAAGAUGUGUACUGCUGUGGUCAGUGUGGCAAACACUUUGCUAAAGACAUACACUUACAACGCCACAUGUUUACCCACACUGAGGAGAGACCUUGUAAAUGUGACCUGUGUGAAAAGACUUUUAAAACUCCAUAUUACCUGAAACUACACCAACAGAUCCACAACAGAAAGAGACUCUACAAGUGCAGCUACUGUGAGAAGCAGAGCAACACAGAUGGAUCCAGUUCUCAACCCUGUCAUCGCUGUGGUGGUGGGAAAGACUUUCGUUGUGACCUUUGUGGAAAAACUUUCAAUUGGCAAGUCUCCCUAAAAAAACAUCAACGUAAACACACUGGAGACAAACUGAAAUACUGCAAAGAAUGUGGGAGAAGCUUCACCACAUCAGGUGACUUAAAAACACAUGAACUGAUUCACAGUGGGGUGAAAAAGCACCUCUGUGAUCAGUGUGGGUCAUCCUUCACUACUUCAAGUCAGCUUAAAACACACAAACGAGUCCACACAGGAGAGAAACCAUACAAGUGCAGACACUGUGACAAAAGCUUCUCACGAUCAGGUCAUCGUAACAAGCAUGAACGUACACACAUGGAAGGAAACUACAGCUGUGACCAGUGUGACAAGAGCUUCAGGAAUCUCAGUUCAUACUCCAAACACAAACAAUCCCACGUUACUAAUAAACUGUUUCACUGUUACCAAUGUGCCAAAACAUUCACUUCAUUAUCUGCUCUGUGCAAACAUCAGCGUGAUCACUCAGGGCUGAAAUCACUCCCAUCACAGUGAAUCUGAAGAGACAGAAAGAUCCUCUUCUGGUUUCAGUGUCAGACUUUAAACUCUUGAGAUCAGGCUCCACAGAGUUCAGGUGAAAUCUCCUGUAAAAAUCUGAUGAGGCAACUGUGAAUGAAAAUGUUCCAGUAGUUACAUUUUAACCCCCAGGGGUCGACGGACGUGUCGGCGUGUCAAAAUCACAUGCCCAGUUUAAGAUGCAACAACAAAGGUGCAGCGACCCAGAGUCUCUAUUUCAACUUAGGUUGAAAGUGUGGACUCAAACUUUAUACCAGUUUUUAAAAUGAUAGGCCACGUAAAAACAGAGUGAUGAUUUUUUUUAAAAAAUGCAAACGUUUGGGUUUUUCCUGAAUAAAACAGUGUUAUUUACAGCGGGAAGGAAUGGUAUGAACUUUUAGUUUGUUUGUUUUUUUUGUAACAUGUAUAUACUGGACUGGACAUACUCACAGAUAUACUACGCAAUCAUAUUUACUCGUAUACAACACACACACACACACACUCACUCUGAAGUGUUUAUAUGAUGGAAUCACUGUGAAAAGCAUCUAACCUACAUGUUUAAAAUCACAAGACCAACAUAUUUAGGUCAAAUAUUAUCUACAAUUAUAUUAAUGGUGUUUGCACGACUUAUUGUAUGAACACAUGUUGAUCAAUAACAUGAGAUAAUUGGGAUCAAUGAGUAACCUUUGAUUGUGCUAUGGCCAACAAUGAUAAGUGCAAACAUGGAACUAAUUCAACUUUUUCUUUCUCUCUGUUCAUCUGUAUUGCCUCAUGUUGUGUUCAGUGUUUCCAAAGCCUAUUUGGUAAAGAAACCUGGCCUGCGGGGGAUGCAUCUGGGAUUGUUUUUCUUGCCUCAGCUGCCAGAAAGCGAGAAAACCAUUUUCUUAUCAUAGAUAGUAGUCUACUUCUGGCACACACACUUAAAAAAUGGUCAAAAUGAUUAACUGUCAAAUGCCGUUUUGCAGACUCACUUUGGCCAUAAAACUGACAAAGGGACAGAAUUAAAAAUAAUGGAUUCUCGGACUGGCACUCAGAAAGUUAUGAAAUAGUGCCAUAAAGUUAGUGGAAAAAAGACAGUUAUGGAACAUAAGUGUAAGAUUAAAAGAAGCAAAGCACAAGUAUGAUUAACAACUGAUGGAAAAUAUUGAUGAGCAUAUCACAUUGAUAAUUGGGUUUAUAGGACAUUUUUGAAUUUGAAACUUUACUUAUGAGGUAAAAACUUCAUAUCGACCUUGAGAGAACAAAGGAUGAAAGGGUACCCAACGGCAGGAGGAGGUUGAUAUUCCCCAGGUUGCUAUUUUUUGUGUCGGUCAUGUUGUGGUUCUCUGCUGUUUGUGCUUAAAUGCAUUUCACCACAGGGUUUGCUUUGCUUGCUGCCAUGUAAAUGUCUCGCUAUACUCUGUAUGUAUUUUCUUGCUGUUCAUAUGAUUCUGUGUAUUAAACUCAGUUCCAAGAAUUCUAAA